AGGGUUCGAUUCUGGCUCAGGAUGAACGCUAGCGACAGGCUUAACACAUGCAAGUCGAGGGGCAGCAUAAAAGUAGCAAUACUUGGUGGCGACCGGCGCACGGGUGAGUAACGCGUAUGCAACCUACCUAUCAGAGGGGAAUAACCCGGCGAAAGUCGGACUAAUACCGCAUAAAACAGGGGCACCGCAUGGUGAUAUUUGUUAAAGAAAUUCGCUGAUAGAUGGGCAUGCGUUCCAUUAGGUAGUUGGUGAGGUAACGGCUCACCAAGCCGACGAUGGAUAGGGGAACUGAGAGGUUGGUCCCCCACACUGGUACUGAGACACGGACCAGACUCCUACGGGAGGCAGCAGUGAGGAAUAUUGGUCAAUGGGCGGGAGCCUGAACCAGCCAAGUCGCCGUGAAGGAAGAAGGAUCUAUGGUUCGUAAACUUCUUUUGCAGGGGAAUAAAGUGCAGGACGUGUCCUGUUUUGUAUGUACCCUGAGAAUAAGGAUCGGCUAACUCCGUGCCAGCCGCGGC
RNAcentral lists this ribosomal RNA (518 nucleotides) under uncultured bacterium. RNAcentral describes it as "bacterial SSU rRNA". It matches the Rfam family "Bacterial small subunit ribosomal RNA", at positions 8 to 518 of the family's 1533-position model. The record is from RNAcentral.